This 396-nucleotide ribosomal RNA is filed under the name uncultured bacterium. RNAcentral's name for it is "partial 16S ribosomal RNA". It matches the Rfam family "Bacterial small subunit ribosomal RNA", at positions 523 to 918 of the family's 1533-position model. The record is from RNAcentral.
AUACGUAGGGAGCGAGCGUUGUCCGGAAUUACUGGGCGUAAAGGGCGCGUAGGCGGGCGUGCAAGUCAGAUGUGAAAUACAUGGGCUCAACCCAUGGGGUGCAUUUGAAACUGCAUUACUUGAGAGAAGUAGAGGAAAGCGGAAUUCCUGGUGUAGCGGUGAAAUGCGUAGAUAUCAGGAGGAACACCGGUGGCGAAGGCGGCUUACUGGGCUUUUACUGACGCUGAGGCUCGAAAGCGUGGGGAGCAAACAGGAUUAGAUACCCUGGUAGUCCACGCUGUAAACGAUGAUUACUAGGUGUGGGGGGACUGACCCCUUCCGUGCCGCAGUUAACACAAUAAGUAAUCCACCUGGGGAGUACGGCCGCAAGGUUGAAACUCAAAUGAAUUGACGGGG